This 337-nucleotide unclassified non-coding RNA is filed under the name soil metagenome. RNAcentral describes it as "partial contains 5.8S ribosomal RNA, internal transcribed spacer 2, and large subunit ribosomal RNA". The stretch from base 1 to 120 matches the Rfam family "5.8S ribosomal RNA", at positions 35 to 154 of the family's 154-position model. The record is from RNAcentral.
GAUGAAGAACGCAGCGAAAUGCGAUAAUUAAUGUGAAUUGCAGAAUUUAGUGAAUCAUCGAAUCUUUGAACGCACAUUGCGCCCCAUGGUAUUCCGUGGGGCAUGCCUGUUCGAGCGUCAUUUACCCCCUCAAGCUCCGCUUGGUGUUGGGCGUCUGUCCCGCUUCGCGCGCGGACUCGCCCCAAAGGUAUUGGCAGCGGUCGUGCCAGCUUCUCGCGCAGCACAUUGCGCUUCUCGAGGCACCGGUGGGCCCGCGUCCAUCAAGCUCACCCCCCCAGUUUGACCUCGGAUCAGGUAGGGAUACCCGCUGAACUUAAGCAUAUCAAUAAGCGGAGGA